CAGUAGCCGCGGUAAUACGAAGGGGGCUAGCGUUGUUCGGAAUUACUGGGCGUAAAGGGCGCGUAGGCGGCCAUUCAAGUUAGAUGUGAAAGCCCUGGGCUCAACCUAGGAAUUGCAUUUGAUACUGUUUGGCUUGAGUUCAGGAGAGGUGAGUGGAAUUCCCAGUGUAGAGGUGAAAUUCGUAGAUAUUGGGAAGAACACCAGUGGCGAGGGCGGCUCACUGGACCGACACUGACGCUGAGGCGCGAAAGCGUGGGGAGCAAACAGGAUUAGAUACCCCAGUAGUCCCUGUCUCUUAUAC
RNAcentral lists this ribosomal RNA (301 nucleotides) under uncultured bacterium. Its description in RNAcentral is "partial 16S ribosomal RNA". It matches the Rfam family "Bacterial small subunit ribosomal RNA", at positions 509 to 807 of the family's 1533-position model. The record is from RNAcentral.